RNAcentral lists this long non-coding RNA (383 nucleotides) under Brassica napus (rape). RNAcentral describes it as "long non-coding RNA (BNAP_LNC020004)". Lineage: Eukaryota; Viridiplantae; Streptophyta; Magnoliopsida; Brassicales; Brassicaceae. The record is from RNAcentral.
UAGGUCUAAAUUUUAUAUGGGUCACAAUUUAUUUAUUAUAGACAAAAUAUACUUAUAUGAAACUUGAACCCAUGACAUGUGGGUCAACAAGAACAUUUUUAACCAGUUCAACACAACUACAACAUUAAAAAUAAACCUAAAAACGGUUAUAAACCAGAUUGUGGAUGCCUCGUAACCAAAAGAUUAUGAUUUGUAAUCUUUUCAUUUAUUUAUGACGGUGUAAUCUCCUAUAUAAGGAACCUCUAUGUUAUGAAUAAAGAUAGAUUUUUCCAUUACUUUUAUAACACGUUAUCAGCACGAUUGAUCUCUAAAACCUUAAGCUAAAAUAUCGACCAUAAACCCUAAAUCUCUCUCCAUUGCUAAAACCCUAACAUCUAUCGAUC